This 465-nucleotide ribosomal RNA is filed under the name uncultured bacterium. RNAcentral's name for it is "partial 16S ribosomal RNA". It matches the Rfam family "Bacterial small subunit ribosomal RNA", at positions 28 to 507 of the family's 1533-position model. The record is from RNAcentral.
GACGAACGCUGGCGGCGUGCUUAACACAUGCAAGUCGUACGGUAAGGCCCUUUCGGGGGUACACGAGUGGCGAACGGGUGAGUAACACGUGAGUAACCUGCCCACAACUUUGGGAUAACGCUAGAAAACUGGUGCUAAUACUGGAUAUGUGCUCCUGCUGCAUGGUGGGGGUUGGAAAGCUCCGGCGGUUGUGGAUGGACUCGCGGCCUAUCAGCUUGUUGGUGGGGUAGUGGCCUACCAAGGCGGCGACGGGUAGCCGGCCUGAGAGGGUGACCGGCCACAUUGGGACUGAGAUACGGCCCAGACUCCUACGGGAGGCAGCAGUGGGGAAUAUUGCACAAUGGGCGCAAGCCUGAUGCAGCAACGCCGCGGGCGGGAUGACGGCCUUCGGGUUGUAAACCGCUUUCAGCAGGGACGAAGCUUUUUGUGACGGUACCUGCAGAAGAAGCACCGGCUAACUACGUG